This 151-nucleotide small RNA is filed under the name Caenorhabditis elegans. Its description in RNAcentral is "Unclassified non-coding RNA T27E7.77". The record is from RNAcentral. Lineage: Eukaryota; Metazoa; Nematoda; Chromadorea; Rhabditida; Rhabditidae.
GUGGCGGCUACUGAAGAUUCAAACCAGGCUCCAGUUGACCCAAUCUUUACGGAAGCUCCAGCAGAAGGAUCGCAGGAGGAACAAACUUCAGAUGGUCCAGUGUUUAUUCCUGAAGAUGGAUCAGUUCAUUCCACGGAAGCUCCAUUUGAGG